CACGCAAGAGCCAGAGAGAUGUCCAGGUGAAGGUGACAGUCAGAUGCUACAGUUAUUUGCUGAAAGAGUCAAGAAGCUGGAARGAGUUGACA
Long non-coding RNA from Nothoprocta perdicaria, 92 nucleotides. RefSeq lists it as uncharacterized. The transcript is spliced from 2 exons. NCBI's taxonomy places the organism in Eukaryota, Metazoa, Chordata, Aves, Tinamiformes, Tinamidae. The record is from RefSeq and is a predicted model, not a curated record.